UCGUGCUAGAUGGGGGGCUCGGGGUCCCCUGAACCGGAAACCCCCGAUACGCCGGAUUGAUCACUCGCCUGCGGCCCUUGGAACGACCGGGUAGCUCCGGGCAAGCAGCGUCGAUGGUCGGGUCCUGCGCGACUCGGAACCGUGAACCCGGUCAGGCCCGGAAGGGAGCAGCCGUAAGCGGCGGACCGAGAGUGCCGCAGGGGGUCCUGGCCGGAGCCGGCUACCCGAACAGCACCGGUCGGUCGAGGGUCCAGGGCGAGCCGCACGG
This 268-nucleotide signal recognition particle RNA is filed under the name Actinomycetota bacterium. Its description in RNAcentral is "signal recognition particle sRNA large type". It matches the Rfam family "Bacterial large signal recognition particle RNA". Rfam says of the family: The signal recognition particle (SRP) is a universally conserved ribonucleoprotein involved in the co-translational targeting of proteins to membranes. Archaeal SRP consists of a 7S RNA and homologues of the eukaryotic SRP19 and SRP54 proteins. Lineage: Bacteria; Bacillati; Actinomycetota. The record is from RNAcentral.